Molecule: long non-coding RNA, 855 nt
Filed under: Pelobates cultripes (western spadefoot toad)
Lineage: Eukaryota; Metazoa; Chordata; Amphibia; Anura; Pelobatidae
Source: RNAcentral
CUUACCCUCAUAGGCUCAGCAUCACUGCAACCAUUAGAUUUCACUCCCAUCACGCUCAGUUACCUGUGCCACCAGCACUGCUUCCACCACACUGUUCCUUUAACCCUGGCCGUGCUUACUUUGGGCUAUUAGGCCUCUGACCUCUGCCCACCAUGACACCUGGUGUAUUUUCACACCAACAGCAGUUAAUUUGCUGUUCACUUACAUAGUGUAUUAAAGAGACCACACAAGGGAGAAACAUAGUUUAUUGUUUGGAGUGGGGAUCUGAGUGAAGGUGUUUGUGCACGUUUAUUGGGAGUUUAUUAAAAGUUGUAUAGCUGGAGUGGGUUUGUGUUUGAGCCCUUGAGGAUGUUUAAUAAGUUUUCGAUAGGCCCUUGGCUUCCGGAAAUUAAAAGAUUCUUAGCACAGAAAGUGCGCAGUGUUACAUUAUGCAAAUCACUAGUAGUUUGAUUAUCAUCCUUGUCUCAGUAUUACCGUCUGGAUUCACAAGUGGUCAUCUAAAACAUUGUAAACACAAAUGUGAGCAAAAUGCAACCAAUAUUAAUGUGUACUAAGGGAUACGUCCUCAUAACAGUAUGAAAUAAUUUACUAUAACCUUACUAAAACCAUAAAUAUUUAACCCCUUGUGGAAAACCAAAUAGAGCAAAUAGAAAAUGCAAAAUCAUAUAUUGUCGCUCACCCCACCUUGACUCAAAACAAUAUAAAUUAUACAAACUGGUCUAAUUUGUCUAUACGCAAUACCCCACCUUGAGAGUAUAAAUUAAAACAAAAACAAACAAAGAAUAACCAUUAUAAUUCUAUUGUUCACCCAACCUUGACCCAAGGAAAUGUAAAAUAUAUGCAAUUAUCUGUUUU